This 429-nucleotide ribosomal RNA is filed under the name Chloroflexota bacterium. RNAcentral describes it as "Chloroflexi bacterium partial 16S ribosomal RNA". It matches the Rfam family "Bacterial small subunit ribosomal RNA", at positions 355 to 776 of the family's 1533-position model. The record is from RNAcentral. Lineage: Bacteria; Bacillati; Chloroflexota.
UGGGGAAUAUUGCACAAUGGGCGCAAGCCUGAUGCAGCCAUGCCGCGUGUGUGAAGAAGGCCUUCGGGUUGUAAAGUACUUUCAGUCGGGAGGAAGGUGUCAAGGUUAAUAACCUUGGCAAUUGACGUUACCGACAGAAGAAGCACCGGCUAACUCCGUGCCAGCAGCCGCGGUAAUACGGAGGGUGCAAGCGUUAAUCGGAAUUACUGGGCGUAAAGCGCACGCAGGCGGUUGAUUGAGUCAGAUGUGAAAUCCCCGGGCUUAACCCGGGAAUUGCAUCUGAUACUGGUCAGCUAGAGUCUUGUAGAGGGGGGUAGAAUUCCAGGUGUAGCGAUGAAAUGCGUAGAGAUCUGGAGGAAUACCGGUGGCGAAGGCGGCCCCCUGGACAAAGACUGACGCUCAGGUGCGAAAGCGUGGGGAGCAAACAGG